CGCGUGCUGCCCGGCUCGUGUAGGAUACUGCAUCCCCGGGGCCUUAUCGAUCCUUAAGGGAGCUGUCCCUGACCGGACCCGUGGGUUCGGAUAAACGGCGCCCACCUACAUGAGUAGGUUUCCCGGGAUCGACACAUCCCACGGCCAGGGCGGCACAAAU
This 160-nucleotide non-coding RNA is filed under the name Pelagibacterium flavum. Its description in RNAcentral is "Pelagibacterium sp. YIM 151497 6S RNA". It matches the Rfam family "6S / SsrS RNA". From Rfam's summary of the family: E. coli 6S RNA was the first non coding RNA to be sequenced, but its function was unknown until recently. It consists of 184 nucleotides that fold into an extended hairpin structure with a large single-stranded internal bulge. The record is from RNAcentral. Lineage: Bacteria; Pseudomonadati; Pseudomonadota; Alphaproteobacteria; Hyphomicrobiales; Devosiaceae.